GUCGAACGCUGGCGGCGUGCUUAACACAUGCAAGUCGAACGUAGUGGCGAACGGGUGAGUAACGCGUAAGCAACCUGCCCUUCAGAGGGGGACAACAGUGGGAAACGACUGCUAAUACCGCAUACGGAUGGCGGGGUUUGCGUUGGAUUAGCUAGUUGGCGGGGUAAAGGCCCACCAAGGCGACGCUCCGUAGCGGGUCUGAGAGGAUGAGCCGCCACACUGGGACUGAGACACGGCCCAGACUCCUACGGGAGGCAGCAGUGGGGAAUUUUGGACAAUGGGCGCAAGCCUGAUGCAGCCAUGCCGCGUGUCUGAAGAAGGCCUUCGGGUUGUAAAGGACUUUUGUCAGGGAAGCGGUACCUGAAGAAUAAGCACCGGCUAACUACGUGCCAGCAGCCGCGGUAAUUC
Molecule: ribosomal RNA, 408 nt
Filed under: uncultured bacterium
Lineage: Bacteria
Description: partial 16S ribosomal RNA
Rfam family: Bacterial small subunit ribosomal RNA
Source: RNAcentral